Dermacentor silvarum is the source of this 140-nucleotide small nuclear RNA. RefSeq annotates it as U4 spliceosomal RNA. The record is from RefSeq and is a predicted model, not a curated record. The transcript has a single exon. NCBI's taxonomy places the organism in Eukaryota, Metazoa, Arthropoda, Arachnida, Ixodida, Ixodidae.
AGCUUUGCGCAGAGGCGGUGUCGCACGCAAUGAAGUGAUAACUGAGGGGCGACUAUUGCUAGUUGAACAUAGUUAUAGAAACCUAUGUCAUUAUGCAGGCAUUUGUAAGAAGUUUUUUUUUUUUAACCAGCAAACAAGCA